UUAAGUGAUAAUUGCCUAGGAGAUACACCUGUUCUCAUGCCGAACACAGAAGUUAAGCCCUAGAACGCCGGAAGUAGUUGGGGGU
This 85-nucleotide ribosomal RNA is filed under the name Streptococcus agalactiae. Lineage: Bacteria; Bacillati; Bacillota; Bacilli; Lactobacillales; Streptococcaceae. The record is from RNAcentral.